Andrographis paniculata is the source of this 3185-nucleotide long non-coding RNA. RefSeq lists it as uncharacterized. NCBI's taxonomy places the organism in Eukaryota, Viridiplantae, Streptophyta, Magnoliopsida, Lamiales, Acanthaceae. The transcript has 11 exons. The record is from RefSeq and is a predicted model, not a curated record.
GUAUGCACCUGCCACCCAACUUUGGAGAGGCAGGCUCCAUGUGACGGGCGGGAGUAAGGAGAACAGGCAUACACCUGCACUUGAGCAUUGCUGUAAAGAAUGGAAAAGCUUUAGAAAAGGAAUGGCGAUCUGAAAUUCCCAUUCCCCGUGGUGGACCUCACAGGAGCUAUGUAAAGGGCAUGGAUUUCCUCAACUGGUAUGCAGUCAAGGCAUGGAUUUGACGGUCAGGUUAAUGCUUGUUGGACUCAUAAAUUAUCACGAAGUGAAAUAGAGUCGAUCCGAGUGGCUGGAUUUCCCAUAUCGGUAAUUCAUGGCAGUUAUAAUGGGCUUGAUUUGCUACUGAGAGAAAGGCCAAGGAUUUCUUUAUGAUGCAGAAUGAGGAGGUUCAGACUGGGAUCUUUUGUUGAAAGACAAUUUCCUCCUUAUUUUGAGUUUAUGCUACUGAGAGAACUUAUGUAUUCCAUUCAAGACUGUGUUUCAACAAAACAGUUGUGUUAACUGCGAUGCACACGAGAGGGAGCGGCCGGAUGAUCGGACGACCGAAUACACAAUAGGGAGCCUUUCCUUUUACAUUUAUGCAUUUAAUUUAAUUUAAUUUAGCAUUAUGCAUAUAGAAAUAGAUUUAUUUUUACGUCCGUCCCGGGACAUGCAUGCAUGCAUUAAUUUUGUUUCUAUAUUUUAUACUAACUUAAUUUAUUUUUACGUCCUUCGAUCCCGAAUACAAAUCCAAGAUGCAUACGAGAGGGAGCGGCCGGAUGUUCGGACGACCGAAUACACAAUAGGGAGCCUUUCCUUUUACAUUUAUGCAUUUAAUUUAAUUUAGCAUUAUGCAUAUAGAAAUAGAUUUAUUUUUACGUCCGUCCCGGGACAUGCAUGCAUGCAUUAAUUUUGUUUCUAUAUUUUAUACUAACUUAUUUUCAAGUGUUUUUAAUUUGUAGGUAAAGCUUAUGUGGAGACGACGGGAUCCGCAAAGAUCCUUCGAUCCCGAAUACAAAUCCAAGAUGCAUACGAGAGGGAGCGGCCGGAUGUUCGGACGACCGAAUACACAAUAGGGAGCCUUUCCUUUUACAUUUAUGCAUUUAAUUUAAUUUAGCAUUAUGCAUAUAGAAAUAGAUUUAUUUUUACGUCCGUCCCGGGACAUGCAUGCAUGCAUUAAUUUUGUUUCUAUAUUUUAUACUAACUUAUUUUCAAGUGUUUUUAAUUUGUAGGUAAAGCUUACGUGGAGACGACGGGAUCCGCAAAGAUCCUUCGAUCCCGAAUACAAAUCCAAGAUGCAUACGAGAGGGAGCGGCCGGAUGUUCGGACGACCGAAUACACAAUAGGGAGCCUUUCCUUUUACAUUUAUGCAUUUAAUUUAAUUUAGCAUUAUGCAUAUAGAAAUAGAUUUAUUUUUACGUCCGUCCCGGGACAUGCAUGCAUGCAUUAAUUUUGUUUCUAUAUUUUAUACUAACUUAUUUUCAAGUGUUUUUAAUUUGUAGGUAAAGCUUAUGUGGAGACGACGGGAUCCGCAAAGAUCCUUCGAUCCCGAAUACAAAUCCAAGAUGCAUACGAGAGGGAGCGGCCGGAUGUUCGGACGACCGAAUACACAAUAGGGAGCCUUUCCUUUUACAUUUAUGCAUUUAAUUUAAUUUAGCAUUAUGCAUAUAGAAAUAGAUUUAUUUUUACGUCCGUCCCGGGACAUGCAUGCAUGCAUUAAUUUUGUUUCUAUAUUUUAUACUAACUUAUUUUCAAGUGUUUUUAAUUUGUAGGUAAAGCUUAUGUGGAGACGACGGGAUCCGCAAAGAUCCUUCGAUCCCGAAUACAAAUCCAAGAUGCAUACGAGAGGGAGCGGCCGGAUGUUCGGACGACCGAAUACACAAUAGGGAGCCUUUCCUUUUACAUUUAUGCAUUUAAUUUAAUUUAGCAUUAUGCAUAUAGAAAUAGAUUUAUUUUUACGUCCGUCCCGGGACAUGCAUGCAUGCAUUAAUUUUGUUUCUAUAUUUUAUACUAACUUAAUUUAUUUUUACGUCCUUCGAUCCCGAAUACAAAUCCAAGAUGCAUACGAGAGGGAGCGGCCGGAUGUUCGGACGACCGAAUACACAAUAGGGAGCCUUUCCUUUUACAUUUAUGCAUUUAAUUUAAUUUAGCAUUAUGCAUAUAGAAAUAGAUUUAUUUUUACGUCCGUCCCGGGACAUGCAUGCAUGCAUUAAUUUUGUUUCUAUAUUUUAUACUAACUUAUUUUCAAGUGUUUUUAAUUUGUAGGUAAAGCUUAUAUGGAGACGACGGGAUCCGCAAAGAUCCUUCGAUCCCGAAUACAAAUCCAAGAUGCAUACGAGAGGGAGCGGCCGGAUGUUCGGACGACCGAAUACACAAUAGGGAACCUUUCCUUUUACAUUUAUGCAUUUAAUUUAAUUUAGCAUUUUGCAUUUAAUUUAAUUUAGCAUUAUGCAUAGAGAAAUAGAUUUAUUUUUACGUAUCGGGACAUGCAUGCAUUAAUUUUGUUUCUAUAUUUUAUAGUAACUUAUUUUUUAGUGUUUUUAGUUUGUAGAUAAAGCUUAUGGGGAGGUUAGAGGAUCCGCAAAGAUCUUUCAAUCUCAAUUUAUAAUCUAAGUUAAGUUAUUUAAAUAUUAUUUUGUUGUUCCUAUGCAUGUAUGUACUAAUAUCUAUUUUAACUCUUUUUAGAUGUAUACGAGAGAGUGUCCGGAUAAACGAGCUCCCGAAAACAUAAUUGAGAGUAAUUCGUCCUUUUUCUUUUACAUUUAUGUAUUGUAUUUAUUUUAACAUCUUGAACGUAGAGUUAGAAUUAGUUUUACGUCACAGGACUUUAAUGCAUUAAUUUUGUUUCUAAAUUUUAUACUAACUUAUUUUUUAGUGUUUUUAGUUUGUAGGUAAAACUUAUGGGAGAUUAGAGGAUCCGCAAAGAUUUUUCGAUCUCGAUUACAAAAUCUGGGCUGACCUGGCCCGGUAUAUUUUGAAACCGCCAUGCCUGGGUUUUGGUUUUCAAGCCCAAUCCAAAAUCAAGUCGGGCCUAUCGGGCUUGAAUUUUAAAACGGCCCAAGACAGCCCAACAAAAUAUUACUCCCUCCUUCGCAAAAAAUGCAUUAAUUUUUUGCGUUGCCGAGGAAGUAAUACCAGCCUGAAAUUGUCAAUUUGUUUUUCAAAUAUGAUGUUAACUUUUCAAAUAAUAGAAGCAAUAUACCUUAAAA